GACGAACGCUGGCGGCGUGCCUAAUACAUGCAAGUAGAACGCACAGUUUAUACCGUAGCUUGCUCCACCAUAGACUGUGAGUUGCGAACGGGUGAGUAACGCGUAGGUAACCUGCCUGGUAGCGGGGGAUAACUAUUGGAAACGAUAGCUAAUACCUCAUAAUAUUGAUUAUUGCAUGAUAAUUGAUUGAAAGAUGCUAUUGCAUCACUACCAGAUGGACCUGCGUUGUAUUAGCUAGUAGGUGAGGUAACGGCUCACCUAGGCGACGAUACAUAGCCGACCUGAGAGGGGGAUCGGCCAAACUGGGACUGAGACACGGCCCAGACUCCUAAGGGAGGCAGCAGUAGGGAAUCUUCGGGAAUGGACGAAAGGCUGAACGAGCAAAGCCGGGUGAGUGAAGAAGGGUUUCGGAUCGUAAAGAUCUGUUGUAAGAGAAGAAAGGGUGUGGGAGUGGAAAGUGCACACUGUGACGGUAUCUUACCAGAAAGGGACGGCUAACUACGUG
RNAcentral lists this ribosomal RNA (505 nucleotides) under uncultured bacterium. Its description in RNAcentral is "partial 16S ribosomal RNA". It matches the Rfam family "Bacterial small subunit ribosomal RNA", at positions 28 to 507 of the family's 1533-position model. The record is from RNAcentral.